Molecule: ribosomal RNA, 253 nt
Filed under: uncultured bacterium
Lineage: Bacteria
Description: partial 16S ribosomal RNA
Rfam family: Bacterial small subunit ribosomal RNA
Source: RNAcentral
UACGUAGGGUCCGAGCGUUGUCCGGAAUUACUGGGCGUAAAGAGCUCGUAGGCGGCUUGUCACGUCGGGUGUGAAAGCCCGGGGCUUAACCCCGGGUCUGCAUCCGAUACGGGCAGGCUAGAGUGUGGUAGGGGAGAUCGGAAUUCCUGGUGUAGCGGUGAAAUGCGCAGAUAUCAGGAGGAACACCGGUGGCGAAGGCGGAUCUCUGGGCCAUUACUGACGCUGAGGAGCGAAAGCGUGGGGAGCGAACAGG